UACGUAGGUUGCAAGCGUUGUCCGGAUUUAUUGGGUUUAAAGGGUGCGUAGGCGGUCUAUUAAGUCAGCGGUGAAAUACUCCAGCUUAACUGGAGGGGUGCCAUUGAUACUGAUGGACUUGAGUCAAGUCGAGGUAGGCGGAAUUGACGGUGUAGCGGUGAAAUGCUUAGAUAUCGUCAAGAACACCAAUAGUGAAGACAGCUUACUGGGCUUAAACUGACGCUGAGGCACGAAAGUGUGGGGAGCAAACAGG
Molecule: ribosomal RNA, 253 nt
Filed under: uncultured bacterium
Lineage: Bacteria
Description: partial 16S ribosomal RNA
Rfam family: Bacterial small subunit ribosomal RNA
Source: RNAcentral